This is a long non-coding RNA of Hyaena hyaena (striped hyena), 886 nucleotides long. RefSeq lists it as uncharacterized. The transcript is spliced from 3 exons. The record is from RefSeq and is a predicted model, not a curated record. NCBI's taxonomy places the organism in Eukaryota, Metazoa, Chordata, Mammalia, Carnivora, Hyaenidae.
CACCUGUCCUUUGUCUCCGGCUUCCAUCUACACCCUGCUUUUACACUGCCCGUGACCAAGCCAUCAGGUUGCCAGGCGGCACAUCCUUCCUGAGUUUUAUCUCGGAUGCGGCUGUGUUUCCCAACCCCUUGUAGGGAACUGUCGCUUUGACCCGCUCUGACCCUCGGCGGGAGGGUCUCACCGAGCCAUGGCCGGUGCCAGCCGCACCCAGGAACGUGAACGGCCCGUGCUGCUGCCGAUGCCCGGAGACUGCGGCGGGUGCCAGCCCGCCCCCCAGAAAAAGUUCCCGCGUUUCAGGGAUUAUGGAAAAUCACAACACACACCUGGCACCAGGCUUCCCCCUUAACAACCUUGUUCCAGCACCAGUGAAUGUGUUUCUGCAGGAUCCGCUGGGACCUUUGCGUGUGGGGAGUCCUCCCAGCAGGGGACCCACCUCUCCCCGUGUGGCCUGAGGACUCCCACACUUCACUCUGCUCCUGGGGGUUCGCCCUUCCUGCCCGAGCACCGCCAGGUGACCUUCCUGCAGAGAUCAGGCGAAAUCAAGCGGGUGGAAAUAUGCCAUGUCCACAUGGUCUGCCAAGACACAGGUGACCAGUGACCCGAGACUGAGUAAUGAAGAUGGGAAAUGAAUAGGCAAGCAACCAAGCCUCUUUGGGAAGAUACCUGCAAACCUCAGGCACGUGGGGGUCAGCCUCCAACAAGGCCCCCUGGGAUUUGGGUCACCUCCUGAUGUUCGAGUCCCUCCCAUUUUAGAUCACAGGUGGGGUAACUUGUGUGAUGAGUGGAUUUCUGUGGAAGAACAGUAGGUGAGUUCGAAGGCUGGGUCAUAAAAGUCACUGCAGCCUCUGCCUUGGUCAUUUGCAGGGCUGGGCAAGUUUUUCCUGUA